Molecule: long non-coding RNA, 550 nt
Filed under: Hordeum vulgare
Lineage: Eukaryota; Viridiplantae; Streptophyta; Magnoliopsida; Poales; Poaceae
Description: long non-coding RNA (HVUL_LNC010876)
Source: RNAcentral
GUUUCUUCCCUCUCUCUUUUUAGUGUAUUUUCUACUGCUAGAACCGGGCGAGCGCGCGGCGGAGCACCUGGGCGAGGAGGCUGGGGGCGCUGAGGUGGGGGAGGUGGCCCUCCGUCGGCAGGGGCUCGAUGGUGGUGCGGCCGCCGAGGUGGGCCUUGAGGUACGCGGCGACGGAGGCCGGCACGGAGACGUCGCGGGUGGUCUGCACGACGACGCACGGCGCCUGCACCAUGCCCAGCACGCCGCGGAGGUCGGUCUUGAACACGCUCUGGCAGACGUGGAGCGAGAUGUCCGGCCGCAUGUUGAACAGCGUCCGGCUGAACUCCUGCACCGCCGCCGGCACGUCCGCGCCCACCGCCAGCGGCGCGUACCCCGUCGCCCACGCCGCGUAGUUGGCCGACAUCGCGUCGAACACCUGCUGGAUCUGCUCCAGCUCGAACCCGCCGUGGUAGUCGCUGUCGUUCAAGAACCUGCUCGAUCGAUCGAUCGAUGGAUGGAUUGCUCCGGUCAGUUGGUUUGCCGGCGAGGCGCCGCGUGCAAGGGAAGGAAG